UACGGAGGGUGCAAGCGUUGUUCGGAAUCAUUGGGCGUAAAGAGCGUGUAGGCGGUGGGGUAAGUCAGAUGUGAAAUCCCUUGGCUUAACCAAGGAAGUGCAUUUGAAACUGCCCGGCUUGAGUACGGGAGGGGGAAGUGGAAUUCCCGGUGUAGAGGUGAAAUUCGUAGAUAUCGGGAGGAACACCGGUGGCGAAGGCGGCUUCCUGGACCGAUACUGACGCUGAGACGCGAAAGCGUGGGGAGCAAACAGG
Molecule: ribosomal RNA, 253 nt
Filed under: uncultured bacterium
Lineage: Bacteria
Description: partial 16S ribosomal RNA
Rfam family: Bacterial small subunit ribosomal RNA
Source: RNAcentral